RNAcentral lists this ribosomal RNA (253 nucleotides) under uncultured microorganism. RNAcentral's name for it is "partial 16S ribosomal RNA". It matches the Rfam family "Bacterial small subunit ribosomal RNA", at positions 524 to 776 of the family's 1533-position model. The record is from RNAcentral.
AACGUAGGGGGCGAGCGUUGUCCGGAAUUAUUGGGCGUAAAGAGCUCGUAGGCGGUUUGUCGCGUCUGCCGUGAAAGUCCGGGGCUUAACUCCGGAUCUGCGGUGGGUACGGGCAGACUAGAGUGAUGUAGGGGAGACUGGAAUUCCUGGUGUAGCGGUGAAAUGCGCAGAUAUCAGGAGGAACACCGAUGGCGAAGGCAGGUCUCUGGGCAUUAACUGACGCUGAGGAGCGAAAGCAUGGGGAGCGAACAGG